This is a long non-coding RNA of Sander lucioperca (pikeperch), 143 nucleotides long. RefSeq lists it as uncharacterized. Lineage: Eukaryota; Metazoa; Chordata; Actinopteri; Perciformes; Percidae. The transcript is spliced from 3 exons. The record is from RefSeq and is a predicted model, not a curated record.
UGACAGACUUUUUCGUCUUAGAAUUACGGUAGGAACCGCUAGGAACCACUAAAAACACAACAACCUCGCCAUCCUCUCCACCUGACGGACAGACACUUCCUCGUCUUAGAAUUAUGGUGAGAACCGCUAAAAAUAACUUUACC